This 253-nucleotide ribosomal RNA is filed under the name uncultured bacterium. RNAcentral describes it as "partial 16S ribosomal RNA". It matches the Rfam family "Bacterial small subunit ribosomal RNA", at positions 524 to 776 of the family's 1533-position model. The record is from RNAcentral.
UACAGAGGGUGCGAGCGUUAAUCGGAAUUACUGGGCGUAAAGCGUGCGUAGACGGUUAUUUAAGUCGGAUGUGAAAGCCCUCGGCUCAACCAAGGAAGUGCAUCCGAAACUGCUGAGCUUGAGUACUUAAGAGGAUCGCGGAAUUCCCGGUGUAGAGGUGAAAUUCGUAGAUAUCGGGAGGAACACCAGUGGCGAAGGCGGCGAUCUGGGAAGAUACUGACGCUGAGGUGCGAAAGCGUGGGGAGCAAACAGG